Molecule: non-coding RNA, 47 nt
Organism: Sus scrofa (pig)
Lineage: Eukaryota; Metazoa; Chordata; Mammalia; Artiodactyla; Suidae
Source: Rfam
UCCCAGGCUGUUCUCACAGCCACAGCAAUGUGAGAUCCCAGUUGAUU